Long non-coding RNA from Mustela lutreola (European mink), 1155 nucleotides. RefSeq lists it as uncharacterized. Lineage: Eukaryota; Metazoa; Chordata; Mammalia; Carnivora; Mustelidae. The record is from RefSeq and is a predicted model, not a curated record. The transcript has 3 exons.
AUCCCAGGCUCCUUUUUUCUCAAAACCCAGCAGAGUGAGAUGGCCCCCCUCUCUGCUCCCGCAGCUCCCUGUCUAGCACAGAUACUAAAGAGGUAUCGCUCUAAGGAGACUUCACACAUUCUGCUAAUGCAAAAGAGGAGAUUAAAGCCCAAUGGGGAGAAACUGGACUGCAUCUCAACCAUGCAACUGGUCUAUGAAUUUGACCUUUCAACAACCUGCUGACCGAGGAUUCCCCAGGAGCCUCAGAUCAAGGAAAUAACAUCCCCCCAGAAGAGAGAAUAAAAACAGAAUUAAAAAAGAAAGAAAGAAAGAAAGAAAGCAAGCUUGAUACCCGGCUAUGCUGGUAUCUUUCUAAAGCACUAACACCAUAAUAAAGGCUUUCCGCUUUUGUUUCAUUAUGUGGCAGCCAGAGCCUAUAAACACUGUCGGUGGUAGAGAAAACAGCGUCUAGAAACAAAUAAGAAAAACUAAAGAUGAAACUGGGAAUAUGUGCACGGCUUACACUUUGGUAUUCUGUGGUCAUGACAGCUUUUGCUCUUAUGAAAGUACUGUGUGUGCUGUUCUUUUUCUCUGUAAUGAUUUCUGAAACCGUGUGACUUGCAGAAUUUGCCUUUUUAAAAAAAAUGCAGUGAGUGUUUAAUCGUUCGGGGUGUGAGUAACCACAUUCUGUUCAAGUACGCUUCCAGCCUUCCCGCUCCUCCUUAUCAGCGACAGUACUCCAAACACUUGUCUCAAUUUUCAGAUCAAAGCUGAUGAAAAACAGACCUCUACAGGGUUGAAUUGCUCUCUGCAUUUUGGGGCCUCAGAAGAAAAUACCGUCAGCACUAGAGAAGGCUGAAUGUUUUUUGGUGCUUUAUCUUUAGUUGGUAAAUUCUGCUUUACCUUUCUAGUUUGCUUAUUUUCUUACUCUGCCAGUGUCAUCCGCUUCGUGAAAUGUAUCUUUUAAUUAAUUAUUCUUGUCUCUAAGUGUCUUCCGUGGCUCAUGGUCAGGGCAAGAAUUUAUAUUAGCAAAAUAGGAUCUGUCACUAAAGGGGAAAUAUCUUGGCUUCUUUCAACACGGAAUUAACCUCAUUUAACCGAUAAUCACCUUAAUUGAUUUUCCAGAUAAAUCUUUUUGUUGGUUAUGUUUUCUUUGAAGUUGCAUAUAGGACAGCU